CCGCCCCCUCCCCUGGCGGGCGCGGGCGCGAGACGCUGCGCGGCGGCAGCGGCGGGCGCGAGCAGCAGCUGUCAGGCCACCGAGGUCCAAGCUGCACUUGCCGCCCCGUGGAGGACGAGGAGGAGGCAGGAGCAGUGACGGUGUCGCCGAGGAGCCGGACUGCCGGCACGCAGAGCCGACCGGCCCCCCGCGGCCCUCUCCCGCCUCUCUCCCAUUGUGUUGGAAUCCUAAAAAGAAAAAAUAUAACAACAACAAGAAAAAGACUAAGAUUGUGACAAAGACACAACUGGGUUUAUAUUUUAUUUUCUUCUGGGCUCUCUUGGUUAUAUACUCCU
Molecule: long non-coding RNA, 335 nt
Filed under: Camelus dromedarius (Arabian camel)
Lineage: Eukaryota; Metazoa; Chordata; Mammalia; Artiodactyla; Camelidae
Description: lncRNA (ENSCDRG00005007171.1)
Source: RNAcentral